This 1578-nucleotide long non-coding RNA is filed under the name Homo sapiens (human). RNAcentral's name for it is "HSALNT0061360". The record is from RNAcentral. Lineage: Eukaryota; Metazoa; Chordata; Mammalia; Primates; Hominidae.
GGAGCUGGGGCCGGCCUGGGACCAUGGGCGGUGAGUGCGGCGCGGGCCUGGGCCGGGGCGGUUGCCGUUGGGGCCGAGCAGCGCAGAGGUUCUAGGCGGGUGGGCGUCCAGGGUCCGAGGUUGGGAGACUGAGGGGGUCCCCCUAACUCGCCAGUGGGAGAGGGGCGGGAAGGCUGGGGGCGCUUCGAAGCGUCGGGUCCGAAUCCCGCGACUAAGCCUCCUCCUUUAUCCCCGCGCUCGCCCCUGAGCCUAGGACUUGCGCCCUCUUUCCUGCCACUCCCCCCGUGCGCCCGGUGUCCCAGCCCCGGCGCCCGCCCCAUAGCCCCCUUCUCCCAGAGCUGGCGCCGUCUCACGCCCGCUGCGAACCCCCGGCUCUGUCUCCAAGCCCUCGCCCCCCGCAGCCCCGCACUCUCCCGCGGAGCCCGCCUCCACCUCGCCCCCGCCCUUCCAGCCCUCUCCCGCACGGCCCCCGCACUCCCGCCGCUGGAUUCCAGCCGAGAUUCAAGCUCCCGGGAUCCCCCUUCCCGGGCGGUCCUGAGCCGGCUAGUCUCCAGUGAGUGCAAUCUACGGAUCAGUCUCUGAUGGUGGGUCGUUAACCUCAGUGGGGACUCCAAGAUUUCCAUGAAGAAAAUCAGUUGUCUUCAUUCAAGAAUUGGGGUCUGGCUCAGAAUUCCUGCAGCUGGUGAAAAUCUGUUUUCUAGAAGAGGUUUAAUUAAUGCCUGCAGUCUGCCCUGAGCUGUAGCCCCAGUCCCCUUUGACAUCACCCAUUUUCCAAUGGAGGAAGCUUCCAGGGAGACAGGGUACCACUUGGAGAGCCCCCAUGGCCACUUCAGAUUGCAGCCAUUGCCACUUCAUCUCACCUGAGGUGCUGAGGGGAGAGUCUAGCCUUGCAGGUAAACGACGGCCCAUUGGAGCCUCUCAACCUGGAGAUGCUGCAUGGCAGCCACGAGGAGGCACCCGUGAACCCAGAAUGAAUUUCAGGGUCCGCUCUGAGUCCAAAAGGCAGGAGGGCCCUGGCCAACUAACACCUAACUGAGCCACAGACUCUGGCCUGUUUAUCCUCCACCCUCAAAACCAGCAGGCUUCUCUGACCCUUUUUGGACUUUGGCUGGGGAAGCCACUGGCUUUUGGAAAAAGUUCAGUCUGCAGUGAUGGCGGGAACAAUCUCAGGAGUCUGGAAGAAGUUAAUGAUUAAAAAGGCAUGGAAGAAGAACUGGAUGGCGGCUUGGGGAGUAGUUUCUGCAGUCAGGAGGCACCCUUCACCUCAUUCCCUUGGCCCACAGUCAUCUGUGCAUGCGUCUGCCCCUCCCUCCAUCAGUGGAGCUCCCUCUGAGCUGCGUACUCGAGGGUGGAGGAGAGUUUGGGGGAACUCAAACAUGUGGUAGUAGAGACUGUAGUAACUUUAAAAUUCUCUUUGUAUUUGCAGAAUCAUUUCCCCAAUUUACACACUCAUGUUUCAGUUUACAGGGCAUCCUUUUGUCACCUGCUCGCCACCCUUAUGCCCCUGGGUGUGACCAGCUUCCUCAGAAAGAGCUGUAAUCAAUAGCAUAUUGAUUAAAAAGCAUAUUAAGAUGAAAA